RNAcentral lists this ribosomal RNA (510 nucleotides) under uncultured bacterium. Its description in RNAcentral is "partial 16S ribosomal RNA". It matches the Rfam family "Bacterial small subunit ribosomal RNA", at positions 28 to 523 of the family's 1533-position model. The record is from RNAcentral.
GACGAACGCUGGCGGCGUGCCUAAUACAUGCAAGUCGAGCGGACAGAAGGGAGCUUGCUCCCGGAUGUUAGCGGCGGACGGGUGAGUAACACGUGGGCAACCUGCCCUACAGAUCGGGAUAACUCAGGGAAACCUGGGCUAAUACCGGAUAAUCCUUCGAAUCACAUGUUUUGAAGUUGAAAGGCGCUUCGGCGUCACUGUAGGAUGGGCCCGCGGUGCAUUAGCUAGUUGGUGGGGUAACGGCCUACCAAGGCAACGAUGCAUAGCCGACCUGAGAGGGUGAUCGGCCACAUUGGGACUGAGACACGGCCCAAACUCCUAUGGGAGGCAGCAGUAGGGAAUCUUCCACAAUGGACGAAAGUCUGAUGGAGCAACGCCGCGUGAGUGAUGAAGGUUUUCGGAUCGUAAAACUCUGUUGUAAGGGAAGAACAAGUACGUUAGGAAAUGAACGUACCUUGACGGUACCUUAUUAGAAAGCCACGGCUAACUACGUGCCAGCAGCCGCCGUAA